Molecule: long non-coding RNA, 14885 nt
Filed under: Lactuca sativa (garden lettuce)
Lineage: Eukaryota; Viridiplantae; Streptophyta; Magnoliopsida; Asterales; Asteraceae
Description: long non-coding RNA (LSAT_LNC005514)
Source: RNAcentral
GUACAUGCUUGGAGCAUGUGUCAACUAUUUUUUUAAAUUCAAGAAGAAAGUUGAUAGCUAAAAACAGUAUACAAUGAAUAAUGUGUAAUCAUAUGGUGAUAAAUAAAAGGUGUUUUAUUUAUACUUAUAUGUUCUGAGACCAUAUUGGAUUCGAUUAUUAUUGUGUUUCACUUUGCAUGUUUUGACUUCCAGAAUAACUAGGUCAUUGUUCUGAUUGACUAAGUUAUUCAAACCAUCCACAGUCGGUCAUAUGUUGGAAGUAGAUAUGAAUUAAGACUGUCAUGGGUUGGCUUGUAGAGGUCUAAGGUGUUGGACAAAGGGCUACAACACUCAUGAGUGCUCAUAAGUUCUGAGUAUUGGAUUCAACCCGCGCUCAUUGGAAUCACUUCAUGGAUUUUAUCACGAGUGAUCAUGAGACGAUAAUAUCUUAUAUUCUUCAAACCUAGAGAUAUGAGUUGUUACUAUGAGUUGAUAGUACAUUGAUUGCACGAAAACGCAUUUGGUAACUCGGUGCUAUAAAACGUGCCUUUGUGUAUGAUUCAACAAGUAGUAGAACAAGCCAUAUGAGUCGAAGUUUAUCCGUUCCUUUUACCUUCGGGAUAAAAGCGAUAUCUGUGGGCCCCUCGAUGAUUUGAUGAUGACAAAUGGAAGUGCUCGGCCGGGCCAGGACUGAUUUGAUUUGUUCAAUUAGUCAGUUGUCAUAAAUCGGAAAUCGGGAAACAACAAAUGGACAGAGAGAAUGAUUAUAAUCCAUGUCUCAGUCCAUAUGAUAUCUAGAAUGGAGGAAUAUAUGAUCCCUUAUCUAAUGGACAAGUCAUUGACAAAGGUCAGAGUUCAUCUACAAGGUCAGAGUUCGACAGAAGCUUUUGAGAGCUACGAUUGCCAGUUGGUUCUUGAAGUCAUACGCAAUAAUAGUUUUAGACUUAUCCAAGUGGGAGACUGUUGGAUUAAUGUCUAAGUCCAUAACUAUAAUUGGUAAGACUUGACCCGACCCGGCAUGGUCCAUUUGGGUUGAAUGGCAUCAUGCACUUGGAUAGACAAAAUGAGAGAAAUAAGACACUUAUGGUUAUUAAUAUAUUAUAAGUUCUCGUAUAUUAAUAAUAAGAAUAAUAAGAUUAUUUAAUUAGUAUUGAUCAAGAAUUAAUAUAGGAUUAAUUAAGUGAUCAAAAGAAGACUAAUUAAAUAUAUGGGUUGAUUGUGCAAAUCAUCCAUACUUAUAUAGUGGGCUAAUGCUCCAUGGAUUAUUUAGUUGGGCUAAAACCCAUAUGAUGCUCCAUGGUGUAUUUGUACCCAUGGAUCAUGGAAAUGAAAGGCCAUGACAAUUAGGAUUUACAUGGUGUAACCUUACCUAUAUAUGCAUCUUAUUCUUGACCAAAAUCGGCCACUAGAGAGAGUAAGAAAGGGCUAGCCGAUUUUCAUGAAGUGUGAAGUUCUCUCAAGUCAUUACAUUUGUAUUUGGUGUUGUGUGAACCAUUUGAGGUGUCACACUUGGGGCACUAGGCACUCAAGCUUCAUGAAGACUUUCUACAUCAAAGAGGUAUGUAUUCUAUUUAUAUUGUUUUGUAUGCUAGAUUAGGAUAUAACCUUGGAUGUUCAUAUUUGCAUGUAUAUUAAAGAAAACAUAGAUCCAAGGUAUUUAGGGUUGCAUGUACACUUAGGAGUGUUAGAAUGCUCAAAACCCAACACUCUUAUGGUUUGUCUGUCCAUAUAUCUUCACCUUUUUCCUUAUGAAGUAAGAACCUUUCAUUCUAACUUUCUAGUUACCAUACUCUUCAACAACUAGCAGUGGGGCAUGAGAAGGGCAACCCAUGCUAUUUGCUAUUUGCAUUGAAAACAUUUGUUGUGAAUUAGGAGCAACCAUUGAAGUUAAGAUAUUAGAGCUGAAGUGGUAUAUAGAAGAACUUUUAUCCUAAAAAAAAUGACUGAAAUACCAAGGUAUUUUUAAAUCAACUAUAAUAUGUUCUUUUGGAUUCAAAGGAUAACCAUUCAAGCUCUAAAACCAAUUGUGAGAACAAGUAAUAAAUGCGGAAGAAAAAGGUUUGAAAACCCAAACCUUGAGUUAAUCUUUAAGAUCAUCGCAUGCUCUUAAUUUCCAUAUCCGGUCGGCAACAGACCAUAGAUCCGAUCAAACGAUAGCAUAAAGCAUAACAAAUCAUUUAGCACGUAAAACCAAUUUAGGCAUCAUUCCUAAAAUAAGCUAGUGCUUGUGUCUAUUAAGGUGUAUUACCUAAAUCUAUUAGACACACUCCUUACAAUCAGCUUAGCAUUCUAAGUUUAAAUCUAGAAAUAAAUCCAUAUUCCUAGUUCCCUUAAACUAAUGCUCUGAUACCAACUGUGACAUUCCCAUUUUCACGGACAGAAAAGACCGAUUUUGUUUAUGCUUUAUAAAAAUCAGAGUGUAUCUUUUAAUAAAAAUGUUGCGGGAUUUGUUCCCAGAAAAAAACGAUAAAUACGUUAUCAAAACAUUUCCAAAGUAACGUAUUUUAUUCAUUUUAAAACAUUUGGGAUGUCAUCGUCAAUACAGAAACAUAAGCAUAAACAGAACUUACAUUCAUUUACACUAGUGAUCUAUAUCUCCUUAAUCUCUCAGUGUAAGGUAACUUCACAUCGUCAGCUGUGAUAUAAAUAAACUGAGUGGGUCAGGUUGGGAAACUUGGUGAGUACAUAGGGUUUUCAACCCACAAUAAUAUAAUUAUUAUGUUUAAACAAUCAAACCAUCAACCCAAUUACCCAUCCCCAUUAUCUUCUUUACUCAUAAGGAUCUACCCUAAGAAUCAGUUAUUUCUCGUUCAUGCAUUCCAAAGGAUCAUCCCAAGGAAUCGACACGAAGUCCAUCGUUGCCACAGUUUACACAAUGACAACUAAGUCUACAUAGUCGCCAGGGUUUAGGCAUCAAGUCUGCAUGAUCGCCAAGGUUUACACAACGGGAACUAAGUCUACAUAAACGACAGGGUUUAGGCAUCAAGUCUGCAUGAUCACCAAGUGUUAGGCUCAAACUCUGCAUGGUCACCAAGGUUUAGAGUACACCGGGUGAACACAUCGUUCAGAACACCUACAGGUUGUGAGCCUGCUAGUGUUCCACUGGACUGUCUAGAAUAGUCUGUGGUUGUCAUCUAUACUCUGCUAGAUGAUGGGGCCAGCAUUUGGGAACAAGGAUUCUCACAUCGUCCCCCUCUCACCCUUACCUCAUGGUCUAUAUCACCUCUCAAAUCAUCAUCCAACUCAUAUAUCAUCUACCCAUGUUUUACCCAACAUAUUAUGUAGAUAUAAAUACAUAGACAGUUUAAAUCAUAUAAAACUUGUAUAAAAUCGUACAUCCAGCAUAGAUAACAAUUAUAUACAUAAUAUGCACACAUAACACGUAGUUUUUAUAAAAUACUUCAUAGCUAUGUGUAAGAUGAAAGGGACCAUGCACUCACUUGAUAAGGUGGUGACUCGGCACUCGGACAGCACUUCGUUAACUGAAAACAAUUUCCUUCGAUGAAACCUAGUAUCAUUACCACUAAGGUUUAGUUUAAUAUUCACCGAGACUAAUUAAUAGUCUGGCUAUUAUUAUUAUUAUUAUUAUUAUUAUUAUUAUUAUAUAAGCGUUAAACAACACUAUAUAACUCAAAAUAAUAGCCCAAAUAAUUAUUUUAAGGUCCUAAUAACAUUACUAUAAUUAAAUAGAAGCUAUAUUAAAAAUAGCAUAGGUGCAACUCACUUACAACAGGUUUUAUAGAAAACCGGGCUUCGCAUGGAGCAGCGUUUCCGAACUGAAAGACCCUUUUUCUCAGGACUCCGGGAGCCUCGGGGCUUCCUUUGGGUGCUAAGGAUCAUACGCUAUCUCCUCACUCACUAACGCUAGCGAAAAGUGAUCGAAUAAAGCAUUUGUUCGUACAAUACGCUCUCGAACCUCAUGCUCUAUCACGCGUGGAAAAGAAGCUGACUCAAAGAAAUCGGUCACAAAGCUUAUUUUUUCGGGUCAAGAAGCUCUCGAAAAGACCUGAUCCUUCCCUAAAAACCACUAAACACAAGGUGGUUUCGCCGUAUCCUCUGAGAACGUUAUAAGAGAAAGACGGCAAAACAAUGCUCACACACGCAUUUCACGCUUCAAGAACCAAUAAAUGUGGGACCGUUCACAUGUUUAAAGCUAAACUAUUUGAAGUCCAGACGUAGCAUGGUACUCUUUCGACCACUAUGUUAAUGUUAAUAUUGAGAUGGUUUCAAAAUAAAGAUAGUCUUAGGGGAGGGUUAAACCCCUUAGAGAAAGAAAGUAGUGAGAGAAAGAAGUGAGAAUGGUGUGAAAUUUCCAGAAGAAUUUGCACCCUUUUAUAGGCUUCACCAGCAUCGGUUACGCUGGGCAUCCAGCAGCGCGACGCUGGACGUGGCUCGGAUAAGCUUGCCAGCCUCGCACCAGCUGGCUCACACCUGCAUCGGAUGGAUAAGAAGCGAAGGUACGUUGGGCGUACCAACCUAAGACGCGUGGCGUAAUCACGAGGGCUACAUGGCAUGAUCUGAAGCGUGUUUCUUCAUUGGUGAUGGGCGACCCAUAUGCUGCCACGUCACCAGCUCCUCACCAUGCUUCGCAAAUUCAACUACAAACUUUAAAAUUUUGUAACUUUCGGGUACGAGCUCCGUUUUCAACGUUUUUUAUAUCCACACGAAGGCGGGAACGUACUCUACAACUUCUGUUAAGACUUCGUCCGCUAAUUUUGAAUUUAUUUGAAAAGUUAUAUUAUUAACAGGCCGGGACAUGAUUGGUUCGUUAAAUUCUCAUAGCUUCUUCAUCCGACGUCCGUUUUCAUCCAUCUUUUUCUCUUUACGCUACUAUUAAUGAGAUCUUCAAUUCUUGUUUAGGUUGUGUCGGCUAAACACCGCUCGAUCUACUAUUCGAAUUUCGGGUUGUACACUGCGGAGCUGAAACUUCGAAAAAUUAUAACUUCCUCAUACGAAGUAAGAUAUGGGCGCUCUUUUUAUGGAUGCUCUCGGUUUAAUGUAUUCUACAACAUUCAUUGAGGUUGCUAAGGCUAAAACUCGCUCUAUCAUAAAUUCACUAUUUACGCUUCCCAGUAUUAUGUCGGUUCCGCCGCGAAACUUCGACGUGUCAUAACUUCUUCGUUAUAACUCGGAUGUCAACGUUCUUUAUAUAUACGGAAACCUUGUAACCUAUAAUAAAUCUUGGUUAAGAUUAUUUAUUCUAAAUAAUAUUUUCCGAAAAGUCAUUUUCGACACUUAUUGCCUCUAGAUUGACUAGCCCGGAUGUACGGGCAUUACAAUUAUCUCUCCCUUAGGAUGAUUACGUCCCGGAAUCAUCAAUGAAACAUAGUAGUAUAAUGACUCCAUACAUUAUAUCUUCAUCCUAGCUAAUAAUUGUAUCUUCUAUGUUGCAUCAAACGAGUAUCUAACUCUUGGACUCCUUGACUGCAGGCGGUGCUCGAACUUGCGCCUGCUCGUUAUACUCUAAACAAUGACAUUCGAGUCAAAAUAUUGAUCCGUACUGGAGACUCCUUCUUCUUCUUCUUAACAAAUUUAUGAUAAGUUCUUUUAUUACUACAGUGGAUCGAUGUGUCAUAUUCUAAUGACCUAUCAUCGUAUGUUGCAACGCUUAGACUCAGGUCUCUUAGAGUCAAAUUCCAAAAUAGACUAUACCUUCCUUCGUAUUACAAUGUGAUUUAAUCACAUCUUAAAAGGUAACAUUUCUAGCUACAAGAAACUAUCGUGAUACCUCUAUUGGUCGCUUUGAUUAUCUCUUAUUCCAAUCUUCCGGCUUAAGUCAUAUGCUACAUCUAACUUGGUUCUCUGAACCAUGUAACAUACUUAUUGUAGUCGGACUCAAUUCGAUAUGACCACUAGGGUCGGAAUAACAACAAUCUUCUUAGUCAUUACUUAAACGAUGGUAACGACAUGCUCUAAUAAAACGGAAUAAAUUACUAGCUUCUUGGUAACCUUGUGACUUUCCCUGAUCUAAGCGCGAGUCUUGUGCUUCCGGUAGUAUAUGCAUCUACUACCUUUCGCACCUACUCGUACUUGUCCCAAGUAUUGUCUUGCAGUCCCCAAGUCACCAUUCAAGAAAAUCACAUAACAGUUUAACACACCAGAUAACAAAACGAAGACUGUAUUAUUUUUUGAAACUAUUACAUAGGUGUUCAAGUUUACCCUAGACUAUGCCUCUAAUAGGCUACAUCAUAUGAUUCUAUCCCCAUGGUUACUUCAUAACUUGAUCUUCCGGUAUGAAUUCCUCAUCCUUGGUUCCUCGCAUGGUUUUCUGCUUCGUCAAGGAUCAUGUGAAAUGCCCUUGGCCUUGGUGGCGUGUUUGGCCUUGCUGCCUCAUUUUUCUUUGGACAGUCCCAAUAAAUAUGCCCUUCUUUGUUACAUCCAUAACACACUUUCUUGUUGGACGCAUACUUGCUGUCGUAAUGCCCUGUCUUUCCAUAUUUGUAGCAAGUCACCUCCUCGCUACAUUUCCCGAAGUGCUUCUUUUUACACUUCUCGCACCACUUGGCUUCACCUCCUCCUCCUUUUUUAGUCUUUUCGAAUUUCCUUUCUUUGUUGGAUUUUGAAGAUCCUUCAUGCUUCCUUUUCUCGCUAACUUCAUCUCUCUCCAAACCCUUUUCCCUAAUCUGGGUCUCAAGAUUCCUGGUUGCCCAGAUGGCUCCUUUCAAAGUGGUUGCUUGCUUGACCAUUGGUCCAAAGUCUGCUGGUAAUCCAUGGGAAAACAUGUUGACCUUGGAGAGCUCAGUUGGAACUAGGUAAGGAACAAGGUUCAUUUUCUCCGUAAAACUAGUAGCAUACUCGGUGACACACAUCCUUCCCUUUUUUAUAUUUUGAAACUCAUUGUUGAUCUCCAGAAGAUCCUGCUCAGAACAAUACUACAAUUUCAGUUUUACCAGGAAAUCUUCCCAAAACAUCUUCCUUGCUUCUCCGUUGGGCAUCUGAUGUGACAUAAGAACAUGGUUUGGCAUGCGAAAUUAAAGUUUGCACAAUGAAAAUGGUGAUUUUAGUGUUCAAGAGAUAUAUAGAAUACGUAUGGUGUUACAAAAAGGGAUCUAGAUCUAGUCUACAUAAAUAACACACACUUACACACUUCACUUUUACACUUCUCAAGCACACCUCUACAAGUGGUAUGAACCCACUAUAUAUAGAGUAGUUUACAUGUCUAUCUCUCACUCUCUAAUACUCAUUAGUCAUAAGGCUAAUGCACCACAUGCAAGUGGGUCUACAAAAGUCAAACCAUCUACAAAGUCAUACAUGGCCCACUUCAAAUCUUCCAAAGUCGAGCAACUACGCGGUUCGAGCCUCAAAGGUGACACAUGUCGAAACAAACUUCAAUCUUCAAUUCUUCAAUGAUUCUUCAAUUUGGGCUCUAGGAUGUGAGACCAUACAAUCCGAGCAUCAACGAAUGAUUAAGAGCUUCUCAAACUCCAAAUAGUCACGCUAAAGUUGAGCAUAAAAACACACCCCAAAAAUCUUUAAUAAUUCCAAACCCAUUUCGAAAAUAAUUCAUUUCCGAACUUCUAAUUGCAUCAUUUCAUAAGCUUCAAAACUUCAAGAUCAUUUCGGUCUUCAAAUCCGCGUAAUAUGAAAAAUUCAAGUUCGAAUUUCCAUAUAAAUUUCUCCCCCGUUUUAUAAUCGAAAUUUGAUUAUCAAACUUUCAAGAAAAGAGAACGUGCUCUAUUCGAAUUUUUUCGUGUCAAAACUCGCCCUUAACAUGUGGCAUAAACUUUGUGUUUCAAUCCGAAAAACCCAAAAAUAUUCAAUUUUUAGCUUCAUUCACGGAUCACCUUUGACAAAAUUUCUUAAAAAAUGGGUAGAAAUUGUCAAUUUCAAAAUUCUGCAGUGAUCCGUUCUGCCCAAAACAACAAAAUAUGCAAAACUCUCCCCCUUUUUCAAAGUUGGGUAGAAAGCAUCAAUUUGCACAAAUUGCAGGGGCCUGAAAUGCAUUUUCUUCAAUUUUCAGCAAAAACAGUCCUUUUUCGAAUUUGGGUAUGAACAGCCAAACAUUCGAAGCCUCAGGGACUAUUUUCAAAAAUUCUUCCCUUUGUGCUCAAAUCAUACGAAGAAUCACCCCAAACAUACGAAGCUUCAAAAAUUUUCGAAUAUGGAUGAAAAGUGUUAAACAUACGAAACUUGGGUUAAUUUUCUAAGUGCCAAAUAUUAGAAGGUAAAGGGGCAGAAUUCAAAUUUUUUUUUUCUUUUUGGUUAAAUCAUACGAAAACUUUGAUCGGUCAUACGAAGGGUUUUGAAAAGGUGCCAAACAGUCAAAAUUUCAGGGGCCAUUUUUGUAACUUUGAGUUUCUUCCCCAAUACCCCAAUUCGUACGAAUCCAACACCAUAUUAACGAAACUUCUGUUCUUCAUCAAAACAAACGAAAUUUUGCCUUCCCAAUUUCCUUUCAAAUGUACGAAACUUUUUCUCUCUCCCCUUCGUAUGAAAUCAUUUGUCCAUUUUCUGUCUCCUCUUCGUAUGAAAUUUAUCACAUGAACGAAAUUUUUCUCUAAUUAACGUAAUCUUGAAUCAGAUUAACGAAAUUAAAGCAUGUCGAACGCUUAACGGUGAACAGUGACCUCUUAAUCAUUCAUUCACUGAAUCGACAUCCGUACUUUAUUUCUUCGUUCGUUAUCAGUUGCUGAUUUCAUCCCCAAAAUCAUCUAUUCUUCAAUCGAAUCCAGUCAUUACUGGUAUCUUUCCAACAUCAACAACAACUGUUCGUCAAGCAUCAAUAGCCUUCGCAUAUAAACAUCAUCGUCACCCACCUGUUCAUCAAUCGACUCUAACUUUCGCUUUUUCAAAAAUCAAAGUUUUUGACCAUUUGAUUCGUUCUCAAAUCAACAAUAGAUAUCAAAAACUUCCAAGCCGUCUCGUUCCCAAUCGAUGCCUGUAAAUAAACGAACAUUGAUCCUUUGUUCUUCAUUAUUCAGCAACAAGUCACAAAAUCAACGAUUCUUGACCUAACUCAUGAUCAAUUCCAAAUUAACGAACAUAGACUCCAACCUUUCGAAAUCAACAAUCAAAGUUCGUUCCAUGCUUUAAGAGAUUGUUGACAACAACCAAUCGAACCCAAAUUUCAGAUCAUGUAGUCGAAACCAAUCGAAAAUUGAUCCCAGUCACUCCCCAAACUUUCAUUCUUUUCCCCAUCGUAAUUACAAGUCGACCUUGACAUCCAGUUUUAUACUUUCGAAACUUUAAUCUCUUUAUCUACCCAUUCCAUACACAAGUUCGACUUUCAAAUCACGUUCAAGAAGCAAAAACGAAGAAGAUUCAACAUUCAUUUCAGUUCGUCACUUUGACAUCAAGAACAACAACAUCGACGAAGAUUCGAAAUUAGACUAGAUUUCGACUCUUUCAACAUGAAAACAACUUGUAAUUAUCAAUUUCAUCAUACAUUCAUCGAUUCAUCUCUUGAAUUCCAACUUUUUCACAGUUUGACUUUUCAAAAUCAAAGAACCAUAAGCACGAAAUUGACGAUUCCAUCAUCAAAUUUCAGUUCAAUACAUGUUUAAUCACAUGCUCUAAACCUCCUUCAUGAGUUCUUGGUCAAGAUCAUCAAAAUCAAAGAAACAAUUUUCAAUUUCUAAGUCUAAAAUCGAUUUCAUCAUUUACAUAUUAUCUGAAUCAAUAUCUAAACUCAGAUUAACAAUCAAUAAAAAUGAUUAUUAGAGAUGAAGGAAUGAAAUUGGGAAUCAAAAACAAUCGAUUAAUGAACAGUCGAUGAACGAACAACAGAUGAAGAAUCGGAAAUAAACUUGGACCAAAUGUACAACUCGGUAAUGCGAGCGUACAAACUGUUCAAUAUCAAUUAGUAUCCGAUACGAAUUAAGUCGACGUAUUCUGAUUACAAUCAACCUUAGGAAUGUAAAUUGGGCUUUAAAUUGAUUUGUGAAUAGUAACGAACAAAACUUGGAUCAAUUGGGCUCGAAGUUUGAAUAAAAGAUGAAUAGUAACUGGAUUUUACAUUUUGGAUUCGAAAUGAUUAACCGAAUAUUAAUUGGAAUACGAAAUUGAUUGGGCUCAAUGAUUUUUGACAUGAACAGUAUUCAACUUUAUAUUUUGUUGUUUUGAUUGGAUUUGAUACAAAAAAAUUAUUGGAUCAUCAAUGGGGUUUUUCAAGAAAAAUUUGAUCCAAUGAGUCAAACGAUCACAAAUUAAAAAACGUAACGCAUGAAUUCAAAUAAAUUAAGAGAUAUCAUAGAAAGAGAGACACACACCAAAAUUGCUCCAAUUGUGACAGAUUUUGCCAAACCGAGAAUCGUUCUUCAAAAGUCACGUUGAUCGUGAAAACCAAGUUCUGAUACCAAUUGAUGCGACAUAACAACAUGGUUUGGCAUGCUAAAUUAAUGUUUUCACAGUGAGCAUGGUGAUUUGGGUGUUCAAGAGAUAUAUAGAAUAUGCAUGGUGUUACAAAAAGGGAUCUAGAUCUAGUCUACAUAAAUAACACACACUUACACACUCCACUUUUACACCUCUCAAGCACACCUCUACAAGUGGUAUUAACCCACUAUAUAUACAGGUGUUUACAUGUCUCUCACUCACUCUCUAAUAUUCACUAGUCAUAUGGCUAAUGGACCACGUGUAAGUGGGUCUACAAAAGUCAAACCAUAUACAAAGUCACACAUGAAGAACUUUGCACCCCAACAGCAUCGUGUUAGCUAGUAGCUUCCCCCAGCUCAGUACUCUAGAGUUUAACAGAGGGAUCGCGAGAGCGGUCUUAUGUUUGUUGCUACACUCGCAACUCUCAAACAUUGUCUUCAUCUCGGAGAUCUAGUCCAUAACUUCCACCGGUGUUGGGCUUCCAGAAACAUAUGGUGGUUUGAAUGCCAUGAAAUCCUUGUACUUACAUCGACGUCCGUCAUUUCCUCCAUCCUAAUUGUUUCAUCUAACUAUCGGUGGGUUGGCUUGGCCAACCGUCCCACUGUAGUUUCCUCUUUCUGAUUGCCCAUCAUUCAGCUCGGGCUGUUCAAUAGGCAACGUAAGUUCCUCUUGAUUUUGUUGAAGUAAAUGCAUUGUUUCCUCCAUCUGACAACCCAACAUCAUUUGGAUCGUCGCUUGUACCCCGACCAUCGUGAUUGGCUCAGGUGCGGUUACUGUUGGAUUAAUGUCUAAGUCCAUAACUAUAUUUGGUAUGUAUUUGACCCGACCCGGCAUGGCCCAUUUGGGUUGCACUUCACCAACACAAUUUAUAUGGAUAGUCUUUUGAGAAUAGUAUAUUUAUGAUGUAUAUCAGUAUAUUAUAAGUUCUAAUAUAUUAAUAUGGAAUCAUAUUAUUUAAUUAGUAUUGAUCAAGAAUUAAUUUAGAAAGUGAUCAAAAUGAACUAAUUAAAUAUGGACUCUUAUAUAUAUGGAGUGGGCCAAGUUCAUUUAGGUUGGGCUAAGCUUUCAUGGAUAGUCCAUUGAGUGUUUAACCCAUGGAUCAUAUGAAAUCAAAGGUCAUGGGUUUAACCCUAGUCUCCAUACUAUAUAAAGAUGUCAUUGGUUGGUGAAAUUGAUACGAGUGUGGGUACACUAAGCGGGCUAGCCGAUUUCACUAGAGAGAACCAAAGUAUUCUUAUUCUCAAAGUCUUCCAAGGUGUUUUGGUGAUUUGUGACUCCACUUGAGGCUUCCACACUAUUGGGCGCUACACCAAAAGGUAUGUCAUCUAACUAGUCUUUGUAGUAUAGUUGCCUCAUAUUAUGCUAGUCUUUGUAUUGUAAGGAAAAGUUUUUCCGCAUUUUAAAAUAAAUAAAAGUUUGUUUUACUUUAAUUUUAUCUCCUUACAAUAGCAUUCAUGAAAACUUAAUAUUUGUAUGUUUAUAGCAAUAUUCGAAAUAUGAAUUUGAUUCCUUCAUUUGUGGUAGUGUCUAAAUUUACCAAACAAGGAAAGAUUCUCAUCAGCCAAGUUUCAAUUCGACCGAAACUUGGAAUCAUACAAUGUGCUUAGUGUGAUGUAUGAGAAUUUUCAAAUUUGGAAAAUUAAGACUAGUUCUCUGUUCACAUGUAUAUGUGACUCAAGAGAAGGACUAAGGGAUCAAGUAAACAUUCUUAUGCACUUGUAAAAGUCCACCACAAAAGAUGGAUAAGACUAUUCGUCAUGAUUUACUAAGGUUUAGUAAAUAUGAUUAUACUUACAAGCUUAAGAAUCAUUCUGAGACAUUGGAAGAGUUUCAAUGUCUGACAGAACGAAUAAGAAGAAUCAAAUUAGGCAGAAGGAUACACGUUUCUCAAAUCUAAAAAGAUGGGAGAGUACUUUAGUAUCAUGUUUUAAGAUCAUCUUAAUGAUUUUGAGACCUUAUCACAAUUCAUCCUCUAAGUGCAUUAUGAUAGUUAAGAAGAGGAGUUAUGAAUUGUUGAAGUGGUUAAAUCAAGAAGAUGAUUUAUACUUCGUUCCAAAAACAAUUCAUAGAGUUAUACUCUAAGAUUGUAACUUGAGUGACAUGUCUUAAAGAAGGUUUAAAACACUUGUCAAAUGUAAGAGUAAAAGUUUUCUACUCUUGUACAUUUGAAAUUGGUAAGUUGUGAUGUUUUGGAUAAAACAAAGACCAACUANGUUAAGUGUCUAUCUUGAUUAGAAUCCACACUAUCUCUUGAAUAUUUGGCAAGAAAGUCUUAUAGGUUAAGGAGACAGUGGGAGUCUAAAAGAUCCUAAAAGGGUUUCAAGAAGUAAUCAUGUAUUUGAUCACUAGAAUACAACUAGAGGUUUAUAACCUAUCUUGUUGACAUUUCUAUGCCUAUUCCAGUUAAUUUGGCUAUACAUUUGAGUUCUACAUGUUAUCAAUGGUUUGCAUAGCUACUUGGAAGCAAUGGCAGCCCUUGAGCUGCCAGGUGGCAAGAAGUUAAGAUUGCACAAGGUCAAUCCAUAUGAGUUGGGAUUUGCCACUAACCUAGUCUUGUGAUUAUGGUUUGACAAAUUCACAUGGAUAAGAACACAUAUACCAUAAAAUCUAAGUGUCAUAAUGUUUUCUCUUCGAUUCAUGAAAAUGAUGGUAAGGAAACUCGUUCACUAAGUAGAUUUUAAGUAGAUAGCAAUUGUAACUUUUGCAGUUCUCAAAGUCGUUAGUGGAGCGUGUGUGGUUAACCGACACACUAACAUUGACUUAUGAGGAAUGGAAAAAGGUCUAAACAAUUGAGACUAUGAUUACGACAUCCCUUUUCAUAGUUCUGAAAUUGUUUAAGACACACCUGUGAGCUAUCUAGGAUAAGUUGUAUAAUUUUGAUAAAGUCUUAUCAAAGCAAUCUAGUAUCAGAAAUGUAAACUUUGGUAAGAAUGUCAAUAAAGUAUUGACUUCUAGAGGUCCAACUGUUUUCUGGGUACAUGUCAAAGCUAGUGGGAGCAUAAGUGCUGUGCUAAUAAUCAUCAUGUUAGUGGGAGCAUGAUGAUUAUGGUAAGUAUUGCAAGUUAGCAAUGUUAAUUAUAGAAAACAAAAGUUUCAAUUCGUGAGGUUGCAAGGGUUGAAAAAGUUGUUUUGCUAUAAUUAAGGGAGAGGAAAUUAUGCUUCAUUUCAAUUAUAAAAAUUUUAGAAUUGAAAAAGCUUAGAUUGAGUUUAUAAUCAUUCUAAAGAGCUUAUAUUAAGGUUUUAAUCACCUUUAGUCAAGAAUAUAUAUAUGAAUUUCAUGUUAGAUUGGUUCAACUUAAGAAAAUUCUAUAUAUUGCAUUCUCAAAAUUCGAUUAUGAUUACGACAUCCCUUUUCAUAGUCAAAUUUUGAGAAUAUGGCAAACAAAAAUUAUUAUGGAAAAAGACUGGUCUAGAACCAUGUCUUUAUGUGAAACAUCAUGAAUCGUGUCCCAUUUACUUUGGGUACAAGAUCGAUUACAUGUGAUAUAAUAUUUAUCUUUUCUGAAUUUCCAAAUGCCUUGGGGCAUUAAGGAGGAAAAUGUCGAGAAUUAGAUAUUACUAAAGUAAUUAAGCAAUUGUCGAGGACAAUCUAAGGUUUACCAAAGAUUGGUUGCUAAAGGACAGUUGGAAGUAUAUUGUCAAUAUUGGAAGGACCAUAUUGACAUAGUCUGAAAAGCGGCAACUUUUGUUCAUAAAUGAUAGUCAAAAUGGGAAUAUAGAGUUGUCUUCAUAGGUGGAAGCCAUCUGUGUAAGGUUAAAGAAACUUACUGCAAGAAGCAUGUUCAAAGCAAUGUGCUUUAAGGUUGACACAUCGUUUCCAUUGAAUUUCUCUCCAUUGGAAUAGUCUGUAAUGAUUGUUGCCAAGUCUUUGUGGCUUUGUGCAUAAUCAUUACAAGAGGAACAGUGCAUAUAACUUUAAAAAUCUGAAAAGAUUUCGAUAAAUGAUAGGAAUUUGAUAUUCUUACAUUUUCGAUAAGGAUUUGGGAGUGUGAAAAGAGAAUCAUUGAAAUUAUGUUCAAUGGAUCUAGUUCACAAAGAAAAGGAUCAUAGACAAACAUAUAGUUCAUACUUGGUGUAUGGCAAAGCUAUUGUUUAGAAAAACAUAGUGUACAUGCUUGGAGCAUGGGAUACCUAGUGUUUUAAUUCAAGUAUAAAGUUGAUAAAACCGAAACAAUGAAUAAUGAGUAAUCAGUAUGGUGAUAAAUAAAAGUGGUUUAUUUAUAUUCAUAGGUUUUCAUACCAUAUUAGAUUCAUUUAUUCUUGUGUUUCACUUUGCAUGUUUUGACUUCCAUAAUGGCUAGGUUAUUCUUCCGGAAUGACUAAGUUAUUCAAACCAUCCACAGUCGGUCAUAUGUUGGAAGUGGAUAUGAAUUAAGACUGUAAUGGGUUGGCUUGUAGAGGUUCAAGUUGUGGGACACAGUUGUACUACAACACUCAUGAGUGCUCAUAAUUUCUGAGUAUUGGAUUCAACCCGCGCUUAUUUGAAUAACUUCAUGGAUUUUAUCACGAGUGAUCAUGAAACGAUAAUAUCUUAUAUUCUUCAAACCUAGAUAUAUGAGUUGUUACUAUGAGUUGAUAGUACAUUGAUUGCACGG